This 466-nucleotide ribosomal RNA is filed under the name uncultured bacterium. Its description in RNAcentral is "partial 16S ribosomal RNA". It matches the Rfam family "Bacterial small subunit ribosomal RNA", at positions 28 to 507 of the family's 1533-position model. The record is from RNAcentral.
GACGAACGCUGGCGGCGCGCCUAACACAUGCAAGUCGAACGAGCGAGAGAGAGCUUGCUUUCUCGAGCGAGUGGCGAACGGGUGAGUAACGCGUGAGGAACCUGCCUCAAAGAGGGGGACAACAGUUGGAAACGACUGCUAAUACCGCAUAAGCCCACGGCUCGGCAUCGAGCAGGGGGAAAAGGAGCAAUCCGCUUUGAGAUGGCCUCGCGUCCGAUUAGCUAGUUGGUGGGGUAACGGCCCACCAAGGCGACGAUCGGUAGCCGGACUGAGAGGUUGAACGGCCACAUUGGGACUGAGACACGGCCCAGACUCCUACGGGAGGCAGCAGUGGGGAAUAUUGCACAAUGGGGGAAACCCUGAUGCAGCGACGCCGCGUGGAGUAAGAAGGUCUUCGGAUUGUAAACUCCUGUUGUUGGGGAAGAUAAUGACGGUACCCAACAAGGAAGUGACGGCUAACUACGUG